RNAcentral lists this ribosomal RNA (493 nucleotides) under uncultured bacterium. RNAcentral's name for it is "partial 16S ribosomal RNA". It matches the Rfam family "Bacterial small subunit ribosomal RNA", at positions 28 to 507 of the family's 1533-position model. The record is from RNAcentral.
GACGAACGCUGGCGGCGUGCUUAACACAUGCAAGUCGAACGGUGAAGGGACCGGUUUUUGCUGGUUCUGGAUGAGUGGCGAACGGGUGAGUAACACGUGAGUAACCUGCCCCCUUCUUCUGGAUAACCGCAUGAAAGUGUGGCUAAUACGGGAUAUUCUGCGCCUGCUGCAUGGUGGGUGUGGGAAAGAUAUUGUUUCGGUGGGGGAUGGGCUCGCGGCCUAUCAGCUUGUUGGUGGGGUGAUGGCCUACCAAGGCGGUGACGGGUAGCCGGCCCGAGAGGGUGGACGGUCACACUGGGACUGAGACACGGCCCAGACUCCUACGGGAGGCAGCAGUGGGGAAUAUUGCACAAUGGGCGCAAGCCUGAUGCAGCGACGCCGCGUGAGGGAUGGAGGCCUUCGGGUUGUAAACCUCUUUCGCCAGUGAAGCAGGCCUGUCCCUUUUGUGGGUGGGUUGACGGUAGCUGGAGAAGAAGCGCCGGCUAACUACGUG